Non-coding RNA from Paramuricea clavata, 380 nucleotides. The record is from the annotation of a GenBank genome assembly. NCBI's taxonomy places the organism in Eukaryota, Metazoa, Cnidaria, Anthozoa, Malacalcyonacea, Plexauridae.
CGCAUUGUUUUGAAACUUGUUCGGUCAAAUUUUAUGGUAAAGAGAAACUUACUGCGAAGAUUUUGAGCAUAUAUAUGAUUGAGUUGGAUGAAAAAUCGCAAAAUUAUCCAGCGAUAAAUGUUCGUGUGAAAUGGUCAGUUGGUCAGUUGGAGCGUUUUAUUGCCAGAAAUACUGUGCUAUGUUAACAUCUAGCCUUGUGAAUGGUGUUUUAUACUUGCAUCUCUCAUCAUCAUCUGCUCUGUCCUCAUAAUUAUGAAAAAUGAACUGUUAUGUACCCCCCCCCCCUCCUUGCUUGUUAGAGAAGUAAACUGAUGAGAGCACUGGAUGAGGGUCUAUCAUCUAUGGUCUGUUAUAAUUUGCUUUUUAUGCAAAUAGUGAGC